Molecule: long non-coding RNA, 904 nt
Filed under: Gossypium barbadense (sea-island cotton)
Lineage: Eukaryota; Viridiplantae; Streptophyta; Magnoliopsida; Malvales; Malvaceae
Description: long non-coding RNA (GBAR_LNC008722)
Source: RNAcentral
UUCACAAUGGCCUCUACAACCAUGGCUCUUUCUUCCCCAUCAUUCGCCGGUAAGGCAGUGAAGUUCUCCCCUUCCACCCCUGAAAUCCAGGGAACUGGCCGUGUUUCCAUGAGGAAAACCACCAAGCCUGUUCCUUCUGGUAGCCCAUGGUACGGUCCUGACCGAGUUUUGUACUUGGGUCCACUUUCCGGUGAGCCACCAUCUUACUUGACCGGUGAGUUCCCUGGUGACUAUGGUUGGGACACUGCUGGACUCUCAGCUGAUCCCGAGACCUUUGCUAGGAACCGUGAGCUCGAAGUCAUUCACUGCAGAUGGGCCAUGUUGGGAGCUCUUGGGUGUGUUUUCCCUGAGCUGUUGGCUAGGAACGGUGUCAAGUUCGGUGAAGCUGUAUGGUUCAAGGCCGGGUCUCAAAUCUUCAGUGAGGGUGGACUUGACUACUUGGGUAACCCAAGCUUGAUCCAUGCUCAAAGCAUUUUGGCCAUCUGGGCUUGCCAAGUUAUCUUGAUGGGAGCCGUCGAGGGCUACCGUAUUGCCGGUGGACCACUCGGUGAAGUGACUGACCCAUUGUACCCAGGUGGCAGCUUUGACCCAUUGGGUCUUGCUGAUGACCCAGAGGCAUUCGCUGAGCUCAAGGUGAAAGAGAUCAAGAACGGUAGGUUGGCUAUGUUCUCAAUGUUCGGGUUCUUCGUUCAGGCCAUCGUGACCGGAAAGGGACCAUUGGAGAACUUGGCUGACCACCUUGCUGACCCAGUCAACAACAAUGCUUGGGCCUAUGCCACCAACUUUGUCCCCGGAAAGUGAACUUAGAGAGUGAGAAGGGAUUUGUCUUGUUUAUGUUUUUAUUUGUUGGUGUGAAUUUAAAUUUGUUGCACAAUCAAUGAAAGUAUAAUGUGAAUUUUGUGUG